GAUGAACGCUGGCGGCGUGCCUAAUACAUGCAAGUCGAGCGAACAGACGAGGAGCUUGCUCCUCUGACGUUAGCGGCGGACGGGUGAGUAACACGUGGAUAACCUACCUAUAAGACUGGGAUAACUUCGGGAAACCGGAGCUAAUACCGGAUAAUAUAUUGAACCGCAUGGUUCAAUAGUGAAAGACGGUUUUGCUGUCACUUAUAGAUGGAUCCGCGCCGCAUUAGCUAGUUGGUAAGGUAACGGCUUACCAAGGCAACGAUGCGUAGCCGACCUGAGAGGGUGAUCGGCCACACUGGAACUGAGACACGGUCCAGACUCCUACGGGAGGCAGCAGUAGGGAAUCUUCCGCAAUGGGCGAAGGCUUGACGGAGCAACGCCGCGUGAGUGAUGAAGGUCUUCGGAUCGUAAAACUCUGUAUUAGGGAAGAACAAAUGUGUAAGUAACUAUGCACGUCUUGACGGUACCUAAUCAGAAAGCCACGGCUAACUACGU
This 495-nucleotide ribosomal RNA is filed under the name uncultured bacterium. RNAcentral's name for it is "partial 16S ribosomal RNA". It matches the Rfam family "Bacterial small subunit ribosomal RNA", at positions 28 to 506 of the family's 1533-position model. The record is from RNAcentral.